UCGGAGCUUUGCUUGGCUGUUUCGAAGACAACAAAGACGAGGGCUGGAACUGUCGCCGCCGAGCUGGUGCAGCGUUCCUUCACAAUCCGACCAAAGCGUCGUCGACUCGAUCUGCCGCCGCUCAGAUCAGCCAGCAAUGUACGAGAGCUCGACGGUCCGCCUGACAGAGCCCAAGCCACAAGUGCCCACCCGCAGGGCAAUGUGGGCUGCAGAGCCUGUGAUCCCUGACAGAGCUGUCUACACGUUUGGAACACUGACACUGCUCAUUCUCGCUGGGGCCCUGGUGAUCUUGGGCUAUGCUGCCUAUGUCAAGCUCUCCUAAGCACUUUUGCAAGCGACGGCCUGCCUUUU
This 351-nucleotide long non-coding RNA is filed under the name Dermacentor andersoni. Its description in RNAcentral is "uncharacterized LOC126536373". Lineage: Eukaryota; Metazoa; Arthropoda; Arachnida; Ixodida; Ixodidae. The record is from RNAcentral.